AGAGUUUGAUCCUGGCUCAGAAUGAACGCUGGCGGCGUGCUUAACACAUGCAAGUCGAACGAUGAAGCCUAGCUUGCUAGGUGGAUUAGUGGCGCACGGGUGAGUAAUAUAUAGGUAACGUGCCUCUUAGUCUGGGAUAGCCAUUGGAAACGAUGAUUAAUACUGGAUACUCCUUCUAACUCUAAUGUUAGUCGGGAAAGUUUUUCGCUAAGAGAUCGGCCUAUUUCCCAUCAGCUUGUUGGUAGUGUAAGAGACUACCAAGGCUAUGACGGGUAGCGGGUUUGAGAGGAUGAUCCGCCACACUGGUACUGAGACACGGACCAGACUCCUACGGGAGGCAGCAGUGAGGAAUAUUGCACAAUGGAGGAAACUCUGAUGCAGCAACGCCGCGUGGAGGAUGACGCAUUUCGGUGUGUAAACUCCUUUUAUGAGUCAAGAAAAUGACGGUAGCUCAUGAAUAAGCACCGGCUAACUCCGUGCCAGCAGCCGCGGUAAUACGGAGGGUGCAAGCGUUAUUCGGAAUCACUGGGCGUAAAGGACGCGUAGGCGGGAUGCCAAGUCUGAUGUGAAAUCCUAUGGCUUAACCAUAGAACUGCAUUGGAAACUGGUAACCUAGAGUAUGGGAGGGGGAGAUGGAAUUAGUGGUGUAGGGGUAAAAUCCGUAGAUAUCACUAGGAAUACCGAAAGCGAAGGCGAUCUCCUGGAACAAUACUGACGCUAAGGCGUGAAAGCGUGGGGAGCAAACGGGAUUAGAUACCCCGGUAGUCCACGCCCUAAACGAUGUUCACUAGUCGUCGGGAUGCUAGUCAUCUCGGUGAUGCACUUAACAGAUUAAGUGAACCGCCUGGGGAGUACGGUCGCAAGAUUGAAACUCAAAGGAAUUGACGGGGGCCCGCACAAGCGGUGGAGCAUGUGGUUUAAUUCGAUGAUACGCGAGGAACCUUACCAGGGCUUAAAUGUAAGUUGCAUUAUUCAGAGAUGGAUAUUUCUUCGGACUACUUACAAGGUGCUGCAUGGUUGUCGUCAGCUCGUGCCGUGAGGUGUCAGGUUAAGUCCUAUAACGAGCGCAACCCCUAUCGUUAGUUGCUAGCAGGUCAUGCUGAGGACUCUAACGAGACUGCCGGUGCAAACCGUGAGGAAGGUGGGGAUGACGUCAAAUCAUCAUGGCCCUUAUGGGCUGGGCUACACACGUGCUACAAUGGUCGGUACAGAGGGCUGCAAACUUGCGAGAGUAAGCGAAUCCCUUAAAGCCGGUCGUAGUCCGGAUUGGAGUCUGCAACUCGACUCCAUGAAGUCGGAAUCGCUAGUAAUCGCGAAUCAGCAUUGUCGCGGUGAAUACGUUCCCGGGCCUUGUACACACCGCCCGUCACACCAUGGAAGUUGGUUGCACCAGAAGUGGCUAGUCUAACUGUUUACAGGGGACGGUCACCACGGUGUGAUUCAUGACUGGGGUAAAGUCGUAACAAGGUAACC
Molecule: ribosomal RNA, 1473 nt
Filed under: uncultured bacterium
Lineage: Bacteria
Description: bacterial SSU rRNA
Rfam family: Bacterial small subunit ribosomal RNA
Source: RNAcentral